AUUUCAACCAAGCCACUGGUGUCAAGGUCAUAGUAUUUGUGUGUUGUGUGUGUGUGUGUUUUGCCCAUGUAGGUUAUAUGCAUCCACAUGAUUCUGUGUGGAUUUGGCUCACAGAAAGGCAAGAAAAGUCAUUUCUAGGAUCUCUCCUCUACUUUUCUCCAAGGAAGACUUUGAUUCCAGAUACCAAGAUGCCAAAGGGAAAUCCUGGAUGUACUGUGAUAGAACAUGCAUGUCAGGCUGGAACAGAACAGCUGGAGGGCAUACCUGCUUUUCCUAAUGACCCAGAAUAAGUCAUGUCAACGAGCCAAGAGAAUCCCUUCACAGUAGCACCUGCAGAGCCAUGCAGGCACCAGAGACUUCCCCUCACUUGCUGGAAAUCUAGCCCCAAACUUCAUCUUAAGGAAGCCUAGUUUGACACAGCAGCCAAGCGAAGACGGGCAUCCCUCAGCUCCAGAGUGGGUGGACAAGCUGCUUUCUUCUCUUAAAGGUCGGGCACCAACUCCUUUGACCUUCUAGGAAACCAACGAGUCUUAGAAUCCUGCUUGAGUCCAGGAGGGAGGGAGGCAUGCCGAGGGGAGUGGAGAGUCCUGGCCUUAGGUGAGACAGAAGAUCCCAUGUGUGGCUUUGAUAGGACUUUAUGCAGACCAUUUACCUUAUUUGAAUUCCAGACUAAAGCAAGGCUUAGCUCAAGGGGGAAUUAUGAGGAUCAAGAGCGAUAAUGUUAAGAAAGCGCUUUGUAAAGCAUGUGCCUAUAUAAAUAUCAUUUGUAUUUCUCCAGGGUCUGGCUUUUCUUCUUACAGGGGAAUACACGCAAGCUUUGAAUAAGGACAGAGAUGGAAGGGAUGGAUAAAGAGUAGGAGUUUAUGACUAAAUGUAGAGCUAGUUUUUGUUUGUCCAGUCUUCUGCACCAAGCUCAACGUGAAGGCUUCUUAUUUAUCAAUGUUUCCAUCUCUAGAAUACCAGGGAAAACAGUUAGGGAAGCCUUUAGGAAUUUUAGUUAAUAGUCA
RNAcentral lists this long non-coding RNA (1007 nucleotides) under Monodelphis domestica (gray short-tailed opossum). RNAcentral describes it as "lncRNA (ENSMODG00000050620.1)". Lineage: Eukaryota; Metazoa; Chordata; Mammalia; Didelphimorphia; Didelphidae. The record is from RNAcentral.